RNAcentral lists this long non-coding RNA (757 nucleotides) under Rattus norvegicus (Norway rat). RNAcentral describes it as "long non-coding RNA NONRATT001106". The record is from RNAcentral. Lineage: Eukaryota; Metazoa; Chordata; Mammalia; Rodentia; Muridae.
CUUUUUUUUUUUUUUUUUUUUUUGGUUCUUUUUUUCGGAGCUGGGGAUCGAACCCAGGGCCUUGCGCUUCCUAGGCAAGCGCUCUACCACUGAGCUAAAUCCCCAACCCCAAGAUUCUUUACUUCUAACAAGCUUGCAGGCAACAUCGCUGCUGUUGUUCAAGAUGACUCCUGGAGGUCAAAGGAAUGAGGGGGUAUCGUGAUGACACCAUAGUGUUCAUAGUCUGGUGCUCAGCAAGCCUGGAGUGGUAUGGUCCGUAAUUUUCAUGCUCUGUUUUGAAUCCAGAACCAAUAAAAAUCCAAAAAGUAUUUUCCUUUAGAGGAAAAAAUAUGGUUUGAACCUGUAUGAGGUUAUUUAUGAAACGUAUUUCUGAGUUUACAUGAAUGGCAUAUGUUUACUGUGAGUGUUGUGUUUGAUUAUAAGAAGUUACUUUAGACUCUAUUAGGGAUGCUGCUGAGAUGUUUUACCAUAUUCUGGAGCCACAAAUUAGGAAUCCUGAAAUAUUUUUGACUAUCAGAGUUUGUGCUGCAUAGUAAUUUCCUCCAACUUAAAACCUUCCAAUUUGGAGGAAAGCUCAUUAAGACAAGGGAUGUUUUUCUUUAAAACAAUAUUUAAUUAAUUUUUAACUGAAUAUAAAUUCUUCUCUCAUAUGCUACAUCCCUACCACAGUUUCCCCUCCCUCUACUGCUCCCAGUUCCCCUCCCUAGUUCCUUUCUCCUCAGAUCCAUUCUCCCUCUAUUUCCUCUUCAGAAAAGAG